AAAUUUCUUUUACAACAGAGUAUUUUGAAUUCCUACAUUUCAUCUCCAGCCAUCAAUGGUUGUAAAAACAAUCCCGCUGUUCCUAGAAUACAUACCAGAAUAAAAACCCACAGAAAAAUGCGAUCAAUUACCAUGGCAACAUACUUCCAAUCAUCCUGAAUCUGAAAAAUAUAAACACAGACAAAUAAGACAGGAAGCAGGCAUGUUCUGAUAAGGGUAAAGUUUACUGAUCAUUAAAUUGCUUGGUAAUAUCAGAACUCCUUUCUGUGUUCAGCAAAAAUGUACAUGGGAGCUCCUCCAUAUAUAGAAUGUUUCCUCUUUCAUAUGACCACAACUUCGAACCUGGCUUUUGAGGCAGCAGAAAUUCAUCCAUCAUUCAUCCAAAAACAUUCAGGCCAAAAACAGUGCAGAAUUAACUUCGUCCCCCAAAUGGUUUGAUUCAUUAUGGCUGAAACUUGCUUUGCAUGAGUUGCAGAAGCUAUCUUUCUAAAUUAAUUCCAACUUUGUAACACUAUUUUAAGAUAAUAGAACUGUCCCUUUCAUUAAACACACAGGGGACAUAUGGCCCCUCUUCCAUGGGGACAGAAAUUUGAAGGUGAAAGAGACUUGGGCACCUACGCAUCUAAGUCCUCUUGAAACGCACCAUUCCUGUUGAAGUGAAGGAGUUCAGCAUGAGAAUUAUUAUCAGGGAAAGCCUCACUACAGUACCUUGCAGUAUCACUCCUCUAAGAAAGCAGGAAUUCAGGGCUCCUGCCGCAGCUUGUCACUGUGGAUGCAUGGAUCAGAGCAGGGCCAUCUCUCCACCCUGUUCACAAUCACAUAACAUCCCUGUGGCAAUUUCAGCUGUUGUUUACAUGGAAAAGUAAGACUGGGAAAGCAUUUUCAGCUAUUUACGUGAUUAGAAAACUGCAGAAGAGAAGAAGCCAGCACCACAUGACUAGCCAGCUCUUCAUGGACCUACCAGCAUGUGCUGUACAGACCACAGUGUGGGAACUCCUGUACUGGAGAGUAUUUCAAGCAUGUUUCACUGAGGCCAGCUUCCCUACAUAGCGUAUAGCCAACAUAUCAUCUCAGUAACACAUUUGGUCUCCUACUGACGUGCUGGAAGCAAAAGUCCUAAGUGUGUACCAGCCCUGGGGCUUUUCUAUAGUUAUAUUUAAUGCUGUGUUGAUGUCAGAUGGGUAGCAAUUUUAACUGCAAAAAUGUCUGGAUCUAAUACUCCCUUUCAAUGAAAGGUCUGAAUUACUGAAGAGUUUCUCAUCUGUAAAUGAGAGGAAAGUUGUGUAGCAGAACUAUCUGCUCCUUCUUACUGCCAGCCUUGCAUAUAGUUCCAAAAACAAUUAUAGAAAGAGUGGGGAGUAGAAGGAGCACAGGGAUGCAGAGUCUAAAGUUUCCUGUCUGUUUCUCUUAUUAAAAUGUGUGUUUUCAAUUUUUAAUACUUAUUAGCUCAACAGACUCCAAAAGUAUUGAUGUUCAACAGAAGCAGUGAUUGGGGGGUAGUUCUGCUACUAGAGAAGUAACAGUUUGCAAUAUAUAUCGUAGUCGCUGUGUAUUGCUACCCGGGUUUGAUCAGAAUCUUAGGUCUUUUGUAAUAGUCAUGGGAAUGCUCAAUUUUUUUAAAAAUUCAUGGUACAAAACCAAAACAAAUUAAGAGUAAAGGCACUUGAUAUGGCAUAGUCUUACUUGUUAUAUAAGACAAUGUCUGGCUUCCAGAUCCUAUCAGCUGGAACUCGAAUAAACUCAACACCUCCAUAUUCCUCUGGAUUCCACUUAAGUUUGUAAUCAUUCCAGAUCUAAUCACAGAAGAAACCAAACUUCAUUAGAAUUACAAAAAGACCCAUCUCAAAUUGUGGACUACUGCCCAUUCUUUCCAUUAAAACA
This is a long non-coding RNA of Chelonia mydas (Green sea turtle), 1881 nucleotides long. RefSeq lists it as uncharacterized. The record is from RefSeq and is a predicted model, not a curated record. Lineage: Eukaryota; Metazoa; Chordata; Testudines; Cheloniidae. The transcript has 3 exons.